RNAcentral lists this ribosomal RNA (254 nucleotides) under uncultured bacterium. RNAcentral's name for it is "partial 16S ribosomal RNA". It matches the Rfam family "Bacterial small subunit ribosomal RNA", at positions 524 to 776 of the family's 1533-position model. The record is from RNAcentral.
UACGUAGGGUGCAAGCGUUAAUCGGAAUUACUGGGCGUAAAGCGUGCGCAGGCGGUUAUAUAAGACAGUUGUGAAAUCCCCGGGCUCAACCUGGGAACUGCAUCUGUGACUGUAUAGCUAGAGUACGGUAGAGGGGGAUGGAAUUCCGCGUGUAGCAGUGAAAUGCGUAGAUAUGCGGAGGAACACCGAUGGCGAAGGCAAUCCCCUGGACCUGUACUGACGCUCGUGCACGAAAGCGUGGGGGAGCAAACAGG